GUAAGUACAUAGUAAAAUAUUGAAAAACUGUGGUGUUUUUCUUUAACCUUGAUUGUUGCAAUUGACAAAAGGUACACCCAUUGGCAUGGACAGAAUGUUCUACUGUAGACUUUGAUCAUUGGUGAAUGCCAUGAAACUACCACACUAAAACUGCGGACAGUUGAUACAAUAUUAAAAUGUUGUCGUGAUUUACUUACUGAGUAUCCCUGUCACGUUGUUUUGUGAGGGAAUGGAGCUUUUUUGUGAGAGGAACAUAUCCAAAUGUGGUAUAAAGACUAGCCAUACGUUCCAUUUUUGGCGGACGCGUCCUGGACAGGAUUUCGGGUGCAUCUUCGGAAGUCGCAUUUGUCGACCGCAUACGUCAUCGAGGUUUAAUAGUUCAUGUUCUAUUUAAAAAACCAACGUUACAUUUCAAGGCCAGGACACGUCCGGUGAAAAUGGCACGUAUGGCCACCCGAUCUGGCAACAUGAGGUCCUUUAGGUACCAGGUGCUCGUGUAAAUGGGAACAGAAAAGUCUCGGAGACGGACGUGAGGUGUAAUCUUUCCCCUUCUGCAAAAACUCCAGCCAGGGCAUCCGCUCCUGCGUGGUUUUAUUUACUUCAUCUGGGAAAUCUUCUUCAUACAGUAAGGUCAGGAUUCGCUGGCUCCAAAUCGUUCCUGUCAUAGAGGAUGUAACGACUGAGCCAGAUCAGACACACAGUAACCACUUAUAUUUCAUAAAUAUCACUGCAGACCCUCAGCCAACAACAGGCUAGGCACUGGGGUCUGUAACGCUACUACCAAACUGCUUUUAACACUCAGAACCAAAACAAGGUCUCUUGUGACUAUGGCAACACAUCAAGAUUAGAGUUUUACGACCUUUUUGGAAUGUUAGGAGAGUCACGCUCUCUUCAUCCAAUUUUGAGACAGACAAAGAAACGUCUCGGUUACGUUCGGCUUCCCUGAAGGAAGGGAACGGAGAUGUCACAGAUUUUUGCUGAGAAAGCUGAGCAUCAGUUUUGUUUGAGGAAUGGAUCCAAAUUUUGGAAGGAGUAGAUAGACAUUCUUUAAGUUAAACAAAUUUUAUUAUGAAAGAAGUGAGAUGAGGGUGCUCCUGCAAACGGGAACAAAAGAGUCUUGGAGACGGACGUGAGGUGUAAUCUUUCCCCUUCUGCAAAAGCUCCAGCCAGGACAUCCGCUCAUAUGUGGUUUCAUUUACUUUUUCUGGGAAAUCUUCUUCAUACAGUGAGGUCAGGAUUUGCUGGCUCCAAACCGUU
Long non-coding RNA from Misgurnus anguillicaudatus (oriental weatherfish), 1257 nucleotides. RefSeq lists it as uncharacterized. Lineage: Eukaryota; Metazoa; Chordata; Actinopteri; Cypriniformes; Cobitidae. The record is from RefSeq and is a predicted model, not a curated record.